Molecule: non-coding RNA, 148 nt
Filed under: Gorilla gorilla gorilla (western lowland gorilla)
Lineage: Eukaryota; Metazoa; Chordata; Mammalia; Primates; Hominidae
Source: Rfam by way of RNAcentral
GCCAGGCGUGGUGGUGGGCGCCUGUAAUCCCAGCUACUCAGGAGGCUGAGGCAGGAGAAUUGUUUGAACCCAGGAGGCGGAGGUUGCAGUGAGCCAAGAUCAUGCCACUGCACUCCAGCCUGGGUAACAGAGUGAGACUCUGUCUCAA